Molecule: ribosomal RNA, 508 nt
Filed under: uncultured bacterium
Lineage: Bacteria
Description: partial 16S ribosomal RNA
Rfam family: Bacterial small subunit ribosomal RNA
Source: RNAcentral
GACGAACGCUGGCGGCGUGCUUAACACAUGCAAGUCGAACGAAGAGCGAUGGAAGCUUGCUUCUAUCAAUCUUAGUGGCGAACGGGUGAGUAACGCGUAAUCAACCUGCCCUUCAGAGGGGGACAACAGUUGGAAACGACUGCUAAUACCGCAUACGAUCUAAACUCGGCAUCGAGGAUAGAUGAAAGGUGGCCUCUACAUGUAAGCUAUCACUGAAGGAGGGGAUUGCGUCUGAUUAGCUAGUUGGAGGGGUAACGGCCCACCAAGGCGAUGAUCAGUAGCCGGUCUGAGAGGAUGAACGGCCACAUUGGGACUGAGACACGGCCCAGACUCCUACGGGAGGCAGCAGUGGGGAAUCUUCCGCAAUGGACGAAAGUCUGACGGAGCAACGCCGCGUGAGUGAUGACGGCCUGCGGGUUGUAAAGCUCUGUUAAUCGGGACGAAAGGCCUUCUUGCGAAUAGUGAGAAGGAUUGACGGUACCGGAAUAGAAAGCCACGGCUAACUACG